This 746-nucleotide ribosomal RNA is filed under the name uncultured bacterium. RNAcentral describes it as "bacterial SSU rRNA". It matches the Rfam family "Bacterial small subunit ribosomal RNA", at positions 104 to 851 of the family's 1533-position model. The record is from RNAcentral.
GGGUGAGUAACACGUAUCCAACCUGCCGUCUACUCUUGGACAGCCUUCUGAAAGGAAGAUUAAUACAAGAUGGCAUCAUGAGUCCGCAUGUUCACAUGAUUAAAGGUAUUCCGGUAGACGAUGGGGAUGCGUUCCAUUAGAUAGUAGGCGGGGUAACGGCCCACCUAGUCUUCGAUGGAUAGGGGUUCUGAGAGGAAGGUCCCCCACAUUGGAACUGAGACACGGUCCAAACUCCUACGGGAGGCAGCAGUGAGGAAUAUUGGUCAAUGGGCGCAGGCCUGAACCAGCCAAGUAGCGUGAAGGAUGACUGCCCUAUGGGUUGUAAACUUCUUUUAUAAAGGAAUAAAGUCGGGUAUGGAUACCCGUUUGCAUGUACUUUAUGAAUAAGGAUCGGCUAACUCCGUGCCAGCAGCCGCGGUAAUACGGAGGAUCCGAGCGUUAUCCGGAUUUAUUGGGUUUAAAGGGAGCGUAGAUGGAUGUUUAAGUCAGUUGUGAAAGUUUGCGGCUCAACCGUAAAAUUGCAGUUGAUACUGGAUAUCUUGAGUGCAGUUGAGGCAGGCGGAAUUCGUGGUGUAGCGGUGAAAUGCUUAGAUAUCACGAAGAACUCCGAUUGCGAAGGCAGCCUGCUAAGCUGCAACUGACAUUGAGGCUCGAAAGUGUGGGUAUCAAACAGGAUUAGAUACCCUGGUAGUCCACACGGUAAACGAUGAAUACUCGCUGUUUGCGAUAUACAGCAAGCGGCCAAG